This 270-nucleotide ribosomal RNA is filed under the name uncultured archaeon. Its description in RNAcentral is "partial 16S ribosomal RNA". It matches the Rfam family "Archaeal small subunit ribosomal RNA", at positions 477 to 747 of the family's 1478-position model. The record is from RNAcentral.
CAGCACCUCAAGUGGUCAGGAUGAUUAUUGGGCCUAAAGCAUCCGUAGCCUGCUUUGUUAGUUUUCGGUUAAAUCCAUAUGCUCAACGUAUGGGCUGCCGGGAAUACUGCAGCGCUAGGGAGUGGGAGAGGUAGACGGUACUCGAUAGGAAGGGGUAAAAUCCUUUGAUCUAUUGAUGACCACCUGUGGCGAAGGCGGUCUACCAGAACACGUUCGACGGUGAGGGAUGAAAGCUGGGGGAGCAAACCGGAUUAGAUACCCGAGUAGUCC